This is a long non-coding RNA of Bombus huntii, 3281 nucleotides long. RefSeq lists it as uncharacterized. The record is from RefSeq and is a predicted model, not a curated record. The transcript has 4 exons. NCBI's taxonomy places the organism in Eukaryota, Metazoa, Arthropoda, Insecta, Hymenoptera, Apidae.
UCGAUUUUGAGAAAAGAAGUACGAUCGGCUUCCUUACAAAGUAGACUCGAUAGAAAAAUUAAAGUUUCUCCUUCGCCCAAUCAAAAAACAGCUGUAGACUUGCGAUUCUGCCUUGUGCGUCCUCUAUUUAGUCGCUUCGAAAAGCAGGGUAGAUGAAUUUAUUGAAAAGUUUUAAUAGUUCCAAACACGAAACCUGAAUUGAAAUAUUUUAGUGAUCUUAUUCUUUUCGGAGUGUCUUAAAUUAGUUUAGUCAAAUGCCGCGUAAUAAUUGGUUUUAUAAUUCUUGUAGCUCUUAGUUGCAAAUAUAGUUUUAUAAUGGACCAUUUGAAUUUUAGAAGUCGCUAUUGUUGCGCUUGAUUUGUGAAAGUAAAACGUGUAAAAUGAUAACGAUCAGUUGUGCAACCAGUAUUAUUAUGGUAAUUUGUAAAAAUUGUGCGUAUUAUGUAUUGUGACAAUUUUACAGUGUAACUGAGAACUGAAGGAAAGAAAUAUAUGCUACUUACCGUUCGUAGGUAACCUUAGAGAUGAAGCACAGAAAUUUUUAAUUCAAAUUCAAAUUUUCGAAUUCAAAUCCAAAUUUAUAUUUCACUAUUGAAAAAUCUUGUUUUAAAUUUUCACAAUUUUGUAUUGUUAUAUUAUUUGACAUUGUAUCAUAUUAUAUAUGCAUAUUAUAUAGAUAAUAUAACCACAGUUAUAUAAUAUUAUUAUAAUAUUUGCUGGAACACUUGACUUUUCCAAAUAAUCGUUUAUUCGUGUACGUCUUGUGUCGAGCAAGAAACAAAACACUACAAAUUUCUUACGGCUAUUUGAUCCGAGGUUGCCAUAUUUCGUUAAUCGAGGAAGUUUUCACGGCGUACAAUAUUUCGAAUUUGCGCGCUGCUUCAAUCAAACGAGAAACCAUUCUGUUUCAACCAAUAGGAAAGCAGCUAGGCGACGCUACGGCGCGAGACACCACUCUGCUGUCGAAAAUCGAGACGUCAAGAAGUAUCACUUUUUGAAGUCAUUUCUACUACGAAAUACUGGAUAGUAUUCUCCGUGUAAUUCUAUCUUUGUUUGCAAUCUAGUAUUAGAUCAUUGGCUGAUUGCACUAAUGGCUUUGAAAGAAUGGGGGUUUGCAGUAUACACAUUACGAACGAUGAAUAGUUAAUUUGACCAUUUUGAAUACAGAUUUCACAACGCUUGAUUUAUUACAACAAAGGCAGACAUGAGCGCGGCCCAUGAAUAUUUUCCGUGGAACUACGUUAUUGAACGCGUACAGCUUUCGCUGUCCGCGCAUAAACUCCUCCAAUGAUUUGCCGCUGGUGAAAAAAAAAAAAAAAAAAAGGAAGAGAAAGAGCAAUGGCAAAGGUGGAAUCACGUGUACGCCGACACCGGCGGCGUUCUUCGCACACCGCCUGCUACCAACCGACAGAGAGAAAAAACGAGCAAGACGACAGGAUGCGGCGGACGUCCUUCCUGCAACUGUUUUCGACGAUCAACCGUGAGGAACGAUAACAAUAAUAAAUAUAAACGCGAUGUUUACAAGUAGGUACAUAUUUAUUUACCGUCACCCGUUAGAGUCUCGGUGAUGGAAUUCGACGAGGGUUUUAUUCUAAGUCGUCUACGUGUACGAUGUUUAACAAGUACUUAUUCGUCAAGAGUUGUCACCUUCCGGAUCAUGGAAUUCGAUGUAACGCUGGAGAAAUUUCUAUCAAGAUUUAUUCUAUGUCGAUAACGAGGCAGAGUGUCGCGGUUCUUACUAUAAAAUAUCGGGGCAAGUGAUUCAUUCGCGUCUCCAAUAAAUAGUUACAAUCGCGUUGCGUCGUAUCACGACGAACCGACACCUAACGAAACCGUGGGUCGUCGAAAACCCAAGUUUAUCAACAUCGGAUUAUAGAGAUGCGUGUGAAAACGAAGCUGGUUGCUCGAUAACUGGCGACGCAACGUUAUGAAUCGGAAUUACGCUCGUUUCACUUUGCGCUCGGCGGGACAAUCUACCGGGCCGGUAUUUAUUAAUUCAACGACGAUGUUUAAUUUACGAAACCCGUUGUCAGCGAUACGAAUCGAUCGAUGUCGAACGCAACUGAUAUCUCGCCGACUCGAUAACCUAUCAGAGACAAAAUCAUAACCGAUCCUCUGGUCGUUCUUUCGCUCGACGCUGCAAUUACGUGUUUAUUUGCUUCGGACGAUCGCGACGACGUUCAAUCGACGAUCGCGUAAAUCUCGCAACGGCUGAGAAAGAAGAAUUUGGAACGUUGACUUGCAGCAUUGACGGACACUGUUCGGCUCUUAGCUGGUGAGUUACGAGGCGACGAAACGAUUCCGUGGACUCGGUUCGUUCCGAGAGGCGAUAAAUUUGCGAAAAUGAUCGAUCCGUCAUCGCGUUACGAGUCGUUGGCCACCUCGUAGCCGGUCUGUCGCCGUAGCGAGCAGUAAGACGCGAAUCGCGAGGGAAUGGAACCGCGAGAAGCCUAUUUGGAAUAUUAAUUUGUAAAAAUAUCCGCGAUCCAACCGUCGCAGAGCUGGAAGAAAGGAGAUUAUCGUCGACUCUUUUCAGUGCUACGACACGGAACAAAGAGCUAAAAGUGGAUCUUUCUGUAAGCGUAAGUCCGAACAAACGUAUAGAUUUGCUGUCGUUGUGAGACGCUUACGUUAUAAUACAUGGAACGAGCAUACGCGUAAACGAUCUUCAACUAGCGCAUUUGCAUCAGACGUACUUACGCGUCUGACGCUUAUAGGAAAUUCUACAUUAACGGCUCUGCGAAUUUAUAACUGCGACGAAAAAGACAUUCGUCCUUUGUAGGAUCGUAAAAACGAGCAAACGUCCAAAGCAUACAUCGCGACAUCUCGUAAAUAAAAUGAACAGCUAUGUGCAUUAGGUAAGAAAUAAACGACUGUUCGUUUCUAAUUAAUCAGAGGCAUGCUUUCUUUCGUUUCUACGAUUAUUUAUCAUCUGUCCAUCGACAAUUUGUUAUUCUCUUCUCGAUAAAAGUCUCAUCGUUACGACUUUAAACUCAACUGUCAGACAAACCGCGUUACGUAUGGAACGACUCGACAUAUUUCACGAGAUUUUACGAAACUAAUUUCAAACUUGAACUAACUUCAGUUCGUAAAUUGACAUGAACAAACAUUUCGCAAGUUAUAACGUUGUAAUUCUUUGCGUUGACACGCGUUCGUCUAUCACGCGAACUAUAUGAACAGAGAACUAUAUGAAUCUCGUUAAGCGAGAUUGGCGAUUGAAACACAGUUAGGUUUUUCCUCGCGACUCGUGGAAAACUCUCAAAGACGGAGGUGGAAAAGGC